This 100-nucleotide small nuclear RNA is filed under the name Nannospalax galili (Upper Galilee mountains blind mole rat). Lineage: Eukaryota; Metazoa; Chordata; Mammalia; Rodentia; Spalacidae. The record is from RNAcentral.
AUUCAGCAGAACAUAUGCUAAAAUUGGAAUGAAACAGAGAAGAUUAUCAUGGCCCCUGCACAAGGAUGACACACAAAUUCGUGAACCAGUCCAUGUUUUU